CUACGGAACUCCUACGGGAGGCAGCAGUGGGGAAUUUUGGACAAUGGGGGCAACCCUGAUCCAGCAAUGCCGCGUGAGUGAAGAAGGCCUUAGGGUUGUAAAGCUCUUUUACCCGGGAUGAUAAUGACAGUACCGGGAGAAUAAGCUCCGGCUAACUCCGUGCCAGCAGCCGCGGUAAUACGGAGGGAGCUAGCGUUGUUCGGAAUUACUGGGCGUAAAGCGCACGUAGGCGGCUUUGUAAGUUAGAGGUGAAAGCCUGGAGCUCAACUCCAGAACUGCCUUUAAGACUGCAUCGCUUGAAUUCAGGAGAGGUGAGUGGAAUUCCGAGUGUAGAGGUGAAAUUCGUAGAUAUUCGGAAGAACACCAGUGGCGAAGGCGGCUCACUGGACCGUUGAUGACGCUGAGGUGCGAAAGCGUGGGGAGCAAACAGGAUUAGAUACCCGUGUAGUCCUCUUCGA
This 458-nucleotide ribosomal RNA is filed under the name uncultured bacterium. RNAcentral's name for it is "bacterial SSU rRNA". It matches the Rfam family "Bacterial small subunit ribosomal RNA", at positions 328 to 803 of the family's 1533-position model. The record is from RNAcentral.